This is a long non-coding RNA of Pan troglodytes (chimpanzee), 1339 nucleotides long. RefSeq lists it as uncharacterized. Lineage: Eukaryota; Metazoa; Chordata; Mammalia; Primates; Hominidae. The record is from RefSeq and is a predicted model, not a curated record. The transcript is spliced from 6 exons.
GGCCCGUGGAGGCACUAGACCCUCACCAGGGGUCUGUCAGGAAAGGCGGGCAGAUACGUGAGGCCUGAACAGGAAGGAACUGGGAGACCCAAGACUGUACCGCCAAGACCGCUUUCGAGUCGGGCCGACCGGAAUUUGAAUUCGUUUCUUCACUUACUAGUUGAUUUUUUCCCUUGAUUCCUUCGUGGGACUCGAGACAGGGGUGCCCUGUUUACUCAGCCCACUGUGCUCAACCUCUUGCAGGAGUGUGCAGGAAAUGAAGGCCCUUUGAGGUCAGGUGGAUGAGGAUGUCAGUGUGAAGAUGGACACUGUGCCUGGAGUGAACCUGAGCUGGAUCCUGAAUGAGAUGCAUGACCAGGACAAGAAAUUGGUGGAGAAGAGCUACAAGGAUGCCAAGGGCUGGUUCUUCAGCAUGAGAGAGGGGCUGAACUGCGAGGUGGUCACCAACACAGAGGCCCUGCAGAGCGGCAGGAUGGAGAUACGGAGCUCUACAUCUCUGUGCAGAACCUGAGACAUUCCAGCUCAGCAAGGUGUGUUACGGGACCCAGCUGGCCCAGCUGCAGGGGCUCAUCAGAAGCAUGGAGCAGCAGCUGUGCGAGCUCUGCUGCGACGCGGAGCACCGGGACCACGAGCACCAGGUCCUUCUGGACGUGAAGACACAGCUGGAGCAGGAGAUCGCCACCUACAGCCACUUGCUAGAGGUUGAGGACGCUCAGAGGUGAAACUGACGAUGCAGGCUGGAGUCUGACUGAGGAGCCUUGACUGCCAAGUUAAAGCGUCUGGACUAGAUCACGUAGGCAAUGGGGAGCCAUGGAGGGAUUUGGAGCUGAAGAGAGGAAUGAACAUCAAGAUAUUUUAGAACAUUCACUCUGGCUGCAGAGGGAGAAAUGGAUCAGAGGGGUCAGGGUGGGGCCAGAGAGAUGCGUCAGGGGGCUGGAGCAGGGAGUCUGGCCAGAGAAGUCCUGCGGGGUGGAGGGUGGGUCGGUGGGGUGGCAGGGGAAGGAAGGUGGUGCACGCAGAAGAGAGGUUAUAGCUCAAAACAGCAGGACUGGAUGCCUGGAUCUCAGGGUAAGCGUGACUUGCAGUCAGGACUCAGUAAGUGUGGGGUGAACACAUGAAGGAGUGGGCAUUGAUGGCCCUGGAUUUCUGGUUCCGAUGACUGUGUGAGUGGUGACACCAUCAGCCACAGGGUGAAGAGCAAGGUGGGUGGUGGUCGGGUUUGCAGGUGGGAAGGGUGAUCAGGCCUUCAGCUGGCAGUGUCCUGGAGUCUCCAUGCUUAGUCACACGUUGCAGCUUUUUGCUCCCCGAAAAGGUUUUUCCAUCAAGGUUUUUCCAAAGG